RNAcentral lists this ribosomal RNA (449 nucleotides) under uncultured bacterium. RNAcentral's name for it is "bacterial SSU rRNA". It matches the Rfam family "Bacterial small subunit ribosomal RNA", at positions 329 to 793 of the family's 1533-position model. The record is from RNAcentral.
GCCCAGACUCCUACGGGAGGCAGCAGUGGGGAAUAUUGGGCAAUGGGCGCAAGCCUGACCCAGCAACGCCGCGUGAAGGAAGAAGGCUUUCGGGUUGUAAACUUCUUUUGACAGGGAAGAGCAGAAGACGGUACCUGUCGAAUAAGCCACGGCUAACUACGUGCCAGCAGCCGCGGUAAUACGUAGGUGGCAAGCGUUGUCCGGAUUUACUGGGUGUAAAGGGCGUGUAGCCGAGCUUACAAGUCAGAUGUGAAAUCCGGGGGCUCAACCCCCGAACUGCAUUUGAAACUGUAGGUCUUGAGUAUCGGAGAGGCAGGCGGAAUUCCUAGUGUAGCGGUGAAAUGCGUAGAUAUUAGGAGGAACACCAGUGGCGAAGGCGGCUUUCUGGCUCAUAACUGACGCUGAGGCGCGAAAGCGUGGGGAGCAAACAGGAUUAGAUACCCGCGUAA